This 279-nucleotide unclassified non-coding RNA is filed under the name plant metagenome. RNAcentral's name for it is "partial contains small subunit ribosomal RNA, internal transcribed spacer 1, and 5.8S ribosomal RNA". The record is from RNAcentral.
UUUCCGUAGGUGAACCUGCGGAAGGAUCAUUAUUGUAUAACCGAUUUGCGAGGACUGUCGCAGAUUCGAAUGUACUUGCACGCCUGAGUUUCCUUAUACACUUCUAUCUCACCCCUACUUGCAUCACCGCUUGAGUCCUCCUUUGGCUUUUCAGGAGGGGGGUUUACUUUUUUAUUCAUACUUUGUACGCAUUGUAGAAUGUAUUUUUUGUUUUUGCGAUCACGCAAUCAACACAACUUUCUACAACGGAUCUCUUUGCUCUCGGAGCGAUGAAGAACG